Long non-coding RNA from Neopsephotus bourkii (Bourke's parrot), 2048 nucleotides. RefSeq lists it as uncharacterized. The record is from RefSeq and is a predicted model, not a curated record. The transcript has 2 exons. Lineage: Eukaryota; Metazoa; Chordata; Aves; Psittaciformes; Psittacidae.
CACUGAUCACAGUUUCCAGAUGCCGAAGACCUGAACUGAAUUUGCCCAUGUUCUGCAUGUGCAUCCACAUUUGCCCUUCAGCAUCAGGGCCUAUGGGAUUCACACAAAGGAGCUAUGGAAAAGGUGGAAAAACCUGACAGUCUGCCCAUUUUUCCUCUUGAGCAGCACCCAGGUUCAGAACUGGGUUCUCUGUCAAGAGAGGUGUGAUGAGGAUGAGGUGAUGGGAGAGGGAAGUGUAACAGAGGCAGACACUUCACAGCAGCAUCCUGAGACACCCCAGUCCUGCCACAAACAGCUGGUGCAUAAUAAAUUCAUGAUAUGCAUAUUUUAUGCUGUUUUCAUGAGACACUCACAUAUGGCCAUACCUGCUGCUGGCAGGGCUGGAGAAAGAACGCGAAGUUCACACCAAGGGCUCCUCUGACAGCAGAUUAUAAGGAAUAAUCACUGCCCAAAUAUUAGCCCUCAACAAGACACACAAAUUACAGGUGAUUAUUUUUUCUUGGACUGCCAAUAAAAGGCCCAUGAAAGGUUAGCAGAGCUCUGCUUCACAUCUCACAGAUUGUGAAUAAUUACAGCCUUCAAACCUUUGUAUGGAGAGACCUGAGCCUUUUGCCCUUAGGAGGAAAAAAGAUGAAUUGUAGUUUCUUCUUAGGAUGCUCCUCCCACCUUCUGCCAUGGAAGUGGUAUGAAAUGACUGUGAUAGUUCCCUUUCCCCAUUUCUCUCUUUGUCUGAAGUGCCCAGGAAAAAGCACCAAAGGUUUGAACUACAGAGCUGCAAUUUCCAGUUCUGUAGUGCCAGCUGAUUUGGUGGAUCAGGGCAGAAAAUAAUGCAUUUGAGACAUGAAUCCUGAGUUCCCAGGGGUCAGGAGCACUCACAACACUGUGUGAGAAAGCCUAUUGAUUCAGAGCUUGAAUGUGCAGCUGCAUGUGUGCUCAUGCACAUCAGAAAUAGGAUUGUUACGUCAAGGGCAUCAAAAUAACAGGACAAAACAGAGAGAGGUCAGGGAACUGGGAUCAGGGAACUGAUCCAGAAGGAUGAAGAAGGUAAUUGGAUCUUAUGUGCAUCUCCUUUGAGCAACGUCCACCAGCCUGCCUGGACUGUGUAAGAGGGCAUCAUGUGGGGAUAUUCUCCCCAGAAAAGGCAGGGAUAUAAAUACCAGCUGAGGUCUCAGAGCUCAGAGGAUACACAAACAGUGCUUCUGCAUGAAGAAUUUAUUUUUUCCCAGUUGGAAGGGGGAAAGAAAUUCCUUACAGUAAGAUGCAGACACAUUGAAAUGGGUGUUAUCACCUACGAGAGAGCAGCUUUUAUGGGCCAUGAGGAAAGUACCGAAGAUCCUUCUGGAAAGGCAGUUACUUAUGGCUCUGAUCCUGAAGAGCAUCCUCUUACAGGGAAGCCCUUAAGAACAGGCUUAGCUUUCCUUUUUAUCCUCGAACUUCAGGACAGGUUUAUGCACUAUCUUCAACUGAGCACAGGAUGUUUUAGCAAGAACUAUCUAAUUGGGUUGCUUCCAGCAAGUCUUAGCAUGCAGCUCUCCUACCCCAUAGGCACCAGCACAGACAUUCCAGAUGAAUGCUCAUACCCAAGGUUUUAAACUUUAGGCCAGUGAAUCAUUAUCCUCUCAUGAGAACAGGAGUGGCAAGUAACAGGAUACAACUGUAGUGGGGAGAAGACCUUUAUGGUCACGUGUUGCAACCUGCAGUUAUGGCAAAGAAGAUACAAAUGACUUAAAACAAAUGGGUUUUCCCUAUAUUGCACAUCUUUGGUAGGAGAAUCCAUCCUUUAUUUCUGUGUAUACAAAGCUUAAUGCAGUUAUACUGCUGUCCAUGGGAGAGGCUCAGAGAUACUAUUGUGUUCUAGCAAUAAAUAGCUAUAAUACUGUUCCCAUAUACCUGUUCCUGAGGAAGCACUGGUGCUUGUCCUCUAAACAGAACAGCUGAAUGUUGAAGACCACAAGUGUGAGAAACAACCCAGCUUUUGCAGAACAGCUUUUAUUUCAGUAGGCUCAGGGCAAGGUACAACACAUCUCUGUGUCGGGCUGCUCAAGCCU